This 438-nucleotide ribosomal RNA is filed under the name uncultured eukaryote. Its description in RNAcentral is "SSU rRNA". It matches the Rfam family "Eukaryotic small subunit ribosomal RNA", at positions 592 to 1018 of the family's 1831-position model. The record is from RNAcentral.
CAAUAGCGUAUAUUAAAGUUGCUGCAGUUAAAAAGCUCGUAGUUGGAUUUGUGGCGCGGCCGUCCGGCGGGGCUCUUUCAUUAGGGCCGUUUGUCCGGUUUUUCGGUCCGCUCCAUUCUCGGGUAGCGUGUCGCUGGCAUUAGGUUGUCGGCUUCUUCGCGCCCGUCGUUUACUGUGAAAAAAUUAAGAGUGUUCAAAGACAGGCUUAGGCCGUUGGAUACAUUAGCAUGGAAUAAUGAGAUAGGGCCACGACGGUCUAUUUUGUUGGUUUGCACGUUGUGGUAAUGAUUAACAGGAACGGUUGGGGGUAGUUCUAUUCAAUGUCAGAGGUGAAAUUCUUGGAUUAUGGAGACGAACUACUGCGAAAGCAUUUACCAAGGAUGUUUUUCAUAAAUUCAAGAACGAAAGUUAGGGGAGUCGAAGAUGAUCAGAUACCGU